RNAcentral lists this small RNA (131 nucleotides) under Gloeothece verrucosa PCC 7822. RNAcentral describes it as "Cyanothece sp. PCC 7822 Guanidine-I riboswitch aptamer". It matches the Rfam family "Guanidine-I riboswitch aptamer". Rfam says of the family: This family represents a conserved RNA structure found upstream of the ykkC and yxkD genes in Bacillus subtilis and related genes in other bacteria. The function of this family is unclear although it has been suggested that it may function to switch on efflux pumps and detoxification systems in response to harmful environmental molecules. Lineage: Bacteria; Bacillati; Cyanobacteriota; Cyanophyceae; Chroococcales; Aphanothecaceae. The record is from Rfam by way of RNAcentral. RNAcentral also lists the same sequence under 1 other name.
AAAAAAAGCUUCUAGGGUUCCGAUUUCCUGGAAAUGUCUGGUCCAAGAGAAGCGGGCUGCCUUAAAAGAAUUAUUGUUACAAGAUAAAUAUUUAGUAGGUGGCUACACGGCGGGAAAAAAACCCGGGAGGA